This 427-nucleotide ribosomal RNA is filed under the name uncultured bacterium. RNAcentral describes it as "partial 16S ribosomal RNA". It matches the Rfam family "Bacterial small subunit ribosomal RNA", at positions 355 to 774 of the family's 1533-position model. The record is from RNAcentral.
UGGGGAAUAUUGCACAAUGGGCGCAAGCCUGAUGCAGCCAUGCCGCGUGUAUGAAGAAGGCCUUCGGGUUGUAAAGUACUUUCAGCGGGGAGGAAGGUGUUGUGGUUAAUAAACACAGCAAUUGACGUUACCCGCAGAAGAAGCACCGGGUAACUCCGUGCCAGCAGCCGCGGUAAUACGGAGGGUGCAAGCGUUAAUCGGAAUUACUGGGCGUAAAGCGCACGCAGGCGGUCUGUCAAGUCGGAUGUGAAAUCCCCGGGCUCAACCUGGGAACUGCAUCCGAAACUGGCAGGCUUGAGUCUUGUAGAGGGGGGUAGAAUUCCAGGUGUAGCGGUGAAAUGCGUAGAGAUCUGGAGGAAUACCGGUGGCGAAGGCGGCCCCCUGGACAAAGACUGACGCUCAGGUGCGAAAGCGUGGGGAGCAAACA